GGCCCCGGCCGGUGAAGCCCGGGUCCCCGCCCCCGGGCAGGAGGGUCACGGCAUCGGUGGGGGCGCUCAGCCGCCGCCGCCGCCGCGGCCCGGGGCUCAGCGGUCCAGUCUUCUGCCCGCGGCGCGGCUGGAGCGGCGGCGUCGGCAACAGACCAGGAGACCUCGAUCUCACCCUGACGCCCUUAGUCUGUCUCUUGUCGCUGCCGCUCCACUGAAACCACUCUCUUCAAGGGCAUCCUCACCUUCCACAUUGCCCAGGCCAUGACCAAAGACCCAAGUUUCCUCACACAGUGGCAGCUCAAGGGGUUCCUGAGGCCCAUCUGCCUGGUACCUGGCAUAGAUUUCUGCACAGAGGUCACCUCCGUGGGAAGAGACUAGGAUGAGGUUUCUGUGGAUGUCAAGACCAGCCUUCAGCCCGUGUUCUGAUGCAACCGCAGCUGCUGCAGGGCCCACAGCCUGAGGGGCUUCACAGGUUGAUGUGGUCAUCUCAGUUUCCUCAGAUGGAACGUGAGCAGAAGGGAUGUGUUCUAGCGUCAGGCCUAAGCCACAAAAAGCCCCUGGGAACACUCCUCCAUUCUUGGCAGCUUCCAUCAGCUGGACACAGAUGACGAUGAGGAGCCAGGGAAAAGUGAAGCCGCAAACUAGAGGGAGGCUGGG
Molecule: long non-coding RNA, 657 nt
Organism: Bos taurus (domestic cattle)
Lineage: Eukaryota; Metazoa; Chordata; Mammalia; Artiodactyla; Bovidae
Source: Ensembl